Non-coding RNA from Mycena olivaceomarginata, 95 nucleotides. The record is from the annotation of a GenBank genome assembly. NCBI's taxonomy places the organism in Eukaryota, Fungi, Basidiomycota, Agaricomycetes, Agaricales, Mycenaceae.
UCCCUCUUAGCUCAGUUGGUAGAGCGCGUCACUAGUAUGUAUGCAAACUUGUAAUCUUAAUGACGAGGUCAGUCGUUCAAAUCGGCUAGCGGGAA